This is a long non-coding RNA of Bombus impatiens (common eastern bumble bee), 454 nucleotides long. RefSeq lists it as uncharacterized. Lineage: Eukaryota; Metazoa; Arthropoda; Insecta; Hymenoptera; Apidae. The record is from RefSeq and is a predicted model, not a curated record. The transcript has 2 exons.
CAAGAGUAAAUAAACUGUGCUCAAGGAUAUAUAUGUUUUCAGUAGGAAGCAUAUUCUAUACCUAAUAAAGAAACGAUAGGUCGGACUGAAACGCGAGAUGAACGUUGAAAGUAAACACACAUGAGAUAAUAUGUAUAAUUUAGUCUGACGAAAUUUAUGCAGUUGAAACGUGAAUAUCUAAGCAUAGAAAUUUGAUAUAGAUAACCACCGAAUGGCUCAUAAUCCAGCGGCAUGUCGCGCCUAUCGUUCCAAGCUCGAAAGAUAAAUAGAAGCACGGGGACCAGCACCGCCUCGAGCGCAUUACGUCGCUCGUUCUCUUUCACGCGCAGGUUGGUAUACCUCGAAUUUGCAUUGCCCAGACAACGGCAGUGCUGCUGUCUGUACCCAACGAAACUUCAAGCCUGCCAACAUUUCUAGCUUCCGUUUCGACAGCGCGUCACUCUCUCGUUGAAAA